UACAGAGGUCUCGAGCGUUGUUCGGAUUCAUUGGGCGUAAAGGGUGCGUAGGCGGCGGGGCAAGUCUGAUGUGAAAUCCCGGGGCUCAACUCCGGAACUGCAUUGGAUACUGCCUUGCUUGAGUACUGGAGAGGAGACUGGAAUUUACGGUGUAGCAGUGAAAUGCGUAGAGAUCGUAAGGAAGACCAGUGGCGAAGGCGAGUCUCUGGACAGUUACUGACGCUGAGGCACGAAGGCCAGGGGAGCAAACGGG
This 253-nucleotide ribosomal RNA is filed under the name uncultured bacterium. RNAcentral describes it as "partial 16S ribosomal RNA". It matches the Rfam family "Bacterial small subunit ribosomal RNA", at positions 524 to 776 of the family's 1533-position model. The record is from RNAcentral.